This 505-nucleotide ribosomal RNA is filed under the name uncultured bacterium. RNAcentral describes it as "partial 16S ribosomal RNA". It matches the Rfam family "Bacterial small subunit ribosomal RNA", at positions 28 to 507 of the family's 1533-position model. The record is from RNAcentral.
GACGAACGCUGGCGGCGUGCCUAAUACAUGCAAGUAGAACGCACAGUUUAUACCGUAGCUUGCUACACCAUAGACUGUGAGUUGCGAACGGGUGAGUAACGCGUAGGUAACCUGCCUGGUAGCGGGGGAUAACUAUUGGAAACGAUAGCUAAUACCGCAUAAUAUUAAUUAUUGCAUGAUAAUUAAUUGAAAGGUGCAAUUGCACCACUACCAGAUGGACCUGCGUUGUAUUAGCUAGUAGGUGAGGUAACGGCUCACCUAGGCGACGAUACAUAGCCGACCUGGGAGGGUGAUCGGCCACACUGGGACUGAGACACGGCCCAGACUCCUACGGGAGGCAGCAGUAGGGGAUCUUCGGCAAUGGACGAAAGUCUGACCGAGCAACGCCGCGUGAGUGAAGAAGGUUUUCGGAUCGUAAAGAUCUGUUGUAAGGGAAGAACGGGUGUGAGAGUGGAAAGUUCACACUGUGACGGUAUCUUACCAGAAAGGGACGGCUAACUACGUG